RNAcentral lists this ribosomal RNA (253 nucleotides) under uncultured bacterium. Its description in RNAcentral is "partial 16S ribosomal RNA". It matches the Rfam family "Bacterial small subunit ribosomal RNA", at positions 524 to 776 of the family's 1533-position model. The record is from RNAcentral.
UACGAGGGGGGCUAGCGUUGUUCGGAAUUACUGGGCGUAAAGCGCGUGUAGGCGGGCCAUUAAGUCGGGGGUGAAAGCCCAGAGCUCAACUCUGGAAUUGCCUUCGAUACUGGCGGUCUGGAGCAUGAUAGAGGCGAGUGGAAUUGCGAGUGUAGAGGUGAAAUUCGUAGAUAUUCGCAGGAACACCAGUGGCGAAGGCGACUCGCUGGAUCAUUGCUGACGCUGAGACGCGAAAGCGUGGGGAGCAAACAGG